Molecule: ribosomal RNA, 232 nt
Filed under: uncultured bacterium
Lineage: Bacteria
Description: partial 16S ribosomal RNA
Rfam family: Bacterial small subunit ribosomal RNA
Source: RNAcentral
GAUCAUGGCUCAGGAUGAACGCUAGCUACAGGCUUAACACAUGCAAGUCGAGGGGAAACGACAUCGAAAGCUUGCUUUUGAUGGGCGUCGACCGGCGCGCGGGCGAGUAACGCGUAUCCAACCUGCCCAUCACUUGGGAAUAACCUUGCGAAAGUAAGACUAAUACCCAAUGAUAUCCCACGAAGGCAUCUGAAUGGGAUUAAAGAUUUAUCGGUGAUGGAUGGGGAUGCGU